Molecule: ribosomal RNA, 343 nt
Filed under: uncultured soil bacterium
Lineage: Bacteria
Description: bacterial SSU rRNA
Rfam family: Bacterial small subunit ribosomal RNA
Source: RNAcentral
AGAUUGAACGCUAGCGGGAUGCUUUACACAUGCAAGUCGAACGGCAGCGCGGACUUCGGUCUGGCGGCGAGUGGCGAACGGGUGAGUAAUAUAUCGGAACGUGCCCAGUAGCGGGGGAUAACUACGCGAAAGCGUGGCUAAUACCGCAUACGCCCUACGGGGGAAAGGGGGGAUUCUUCGGAACCUCUCACUAUUGGAGCGGCCGAUAUCAGAUUAGCUAGUUGGUGAGGUAAAGGCUCACCAAGGCGACGAUCUGUAGCUGGUUUGAGAGGACGACCAGCCACACUGGGACUGAGACACGGCCCAGACCUCCUACGGGAGGCAGCAGUGGGGUAAUUUGGAC